This 111-nucleotide microRNA precursor is filed under the name Caenorhabditis brenneri. The record is from RNAcentral. Lineage: Eukaryota; Metazoa; Nematoda; Chromadorea; Rhabditida; Rhabditidae.
CUAUCUCUCCCUCGGCCUCGCCGAUUAUGACACUUAAGCAUAGGUGGACCAUUCAAGACCAUAGGAUCCAGCUACGCUAAGUGGAAUAGUCGGCGAGCGCCUGGAGCAUUU